Anneissia japonica is the source of this 1298-nucleotide long non-coding RNA. RefSeq lists it as uncharacterized. The transcript is spliced from 3 exons. The record is from RefSeq and is a predicted model, not a curated record. Lineage: Eukaryota; Metazoa; Echinodermata; Crinoidea; Comatulida; Comatulidae.
GACUAAUUAAACGAAAACUUACCUGUUUGAAGUUCUUUUAGUGUUAUGAAAUGAUUUAACAGUGAAAUCAAUUACAUAUUUGGUUUUCUUAAAGGCCUUAUAAUUUAGCCGGCAUAUACCUUUUUAAACAGACAUUUUCGUGGUGAUUGGUCAGGAUGUAUAACCCUAACCUGUUAAGGAAAAGGUAAUUCGAAUUAUAGCUAGAAUCGUAACAUUAGGAUCAAUUUGUUCGUCUUAAAAGAACCAAAGCAAAAUUGCAGCAUCAGCUGAUGUACCCUGGUGACAGACUACUGGUAUUAAUAAUUUUUAAAAUAAAAAGAGUCCUUGUUUGAUAUGAACAUUUUUUGCAAGGGAUAUGUGCGCUGUACUUCGGGUAUAAAGAAAGUUUAUAAUUACUAAAAAAAAAUCUAUUAUAACACUUUUUAACUGCUCGACCAAAUUAUCCUAAUUAACUCUUUUCUAAAAGGAUUUUUCAACGUGAUUUUUUUUUUGUUGCGAAAACGAUGCUCUUGAGAUUAUGAGUUUCCUACCUUAGCAUUGGCCAGUAACGUUACGACAAGCCUGUUCAUGACUGACGCCGCGCGUCUUAACCUGCGGUGAUGCACCUUUUAUUCGGCUUUAUUUCUAUCCCGUAUUUUUAUCAGGUUUGUUAUACUCCUAUUUUUGAGUCUGUAGGAGGUCAGCUUUACCCACCAGAACCUGAACUUAUUAAAAAAAAACACACACACACUCUGAACAAAAGCAACUAAGUACAGUUCUUUACGUAUUCAAAUGGUAAGUAAACAAAAAUGUGCGUUUUUUUAUAUUCAAAAUUAUUGAUCUAGACCUUCCAACAGCUUCUAUAGCAAACCCUUUAUGAAAAUUAAGUGAAUCGAAAUAUUUAUAAAAAUAAAUAUAAAUUGCAGCACCGUUGUCUUCUAAUUUUAACUAUUUAAUUAUUGAAUAUGAAUUACAUUUACUGCUUCAACUUCCUAAAUUUAACUAUAAUAACCAGACCAAUUACAUGUGAUAUUUCACAGUGAGUGGAUAUAAAAUAUUUAUUAAUUAAAUUGUUACGAUAUAAAUUAGUAUAUAAUACUGUGUAGAUCAUGACAUGUAUUGUAUUUUUUAUUAUUUUAAAUAGGGUUUGCAAAUGAACAGCCAAGUAAGGACCACAAUAGUCAAACGCUUAGCGAAAAAGAUUCGUGCGAAAAUCAAAAGGAAAUAAGGUUAAUUAGAACGACGGAUGAUAUAUCCACAAGCCACAAUAGUCUCAGAAAAAAUCAAGAUGAGAGAGUUCCUUUAAUAACAAAUACAGG